Molecule: ribosomal RNA, 429 nt
Filed under: uncultured bacterium
Lineage: Bacteria
Description: bacterial LSU rRNA
Rfam family: Bacterial large subunit ribosomal RNA
Source: RNAcentral
UAGUGCCUCAAGUAGUUACCGUCGGGGGUAGAGCACUGUUAGGCUAGGGGGUCAUGGCGACUUACAAACCUAUGCAAACUCCGAAUACCGAUGAGUACAGCUUGGGAGACAGAGCACCGGGUGCUAACGUCCGGGACUCAAGAGGGGAAACAACCCAGACCGCCAGCUAAGGUCCCUAAAAUUGGCUAAGUGGGAAACGAAGUGGGAAGGCUAAAACAGUCAGGAUGUUGGCUUAGAAGCAGCCAUCAUUUUAAGAAAGCGUAAUAGCUCACUGAUCGAGUCGUUCCUGCGUCGGAAGAUGUAACGGGGCUAAGCCAGUUACCGAAGCUGCGGAUGCACAGUUUACUGUGCGUGGUAGGAGAGCGUUACUGUAGGCCUGUGAAGGUUGUGUUGUAAAAGCAUGCUGGAGGUAUCAGAAGUGCGAAUGCU